AUUGCCCUAGUAACGGCGAGUGAAGCGGCAACAGCUCAAAUUUGAAAUCUGGCGUCUUUGGCGUCCGAGUUGUAAUUUGCAGAGGGCGCUUUGGCAUUGGCAGCGGUCCAAGUUCCUUGGAACAGGACGUCACAGAGGGUGAGAAUCCCGUACGUGGUCGCUAGCCUUUACCGUGUAAAGCCCCUUCGACGAGUCGAGUUGUUUGGGAAUGCAGCUCUAAAUGGGAGGUAAAUUUCUUCUAAAGCUAAAUACUGGCCAGAGACCGAUAGCGCACAAGUAGAGUGAUCGAAAGAUGAAAAGCACUUUGGAAAGAGAGUUAAAAAGCACGUGAAAUUGUUGAAAGGGAAGCGCUUGCAGCCAGACUUGCCUGUAGUUGCUCAUCUAGGUUUCUACCUAGUGCACUCUUCUAUAGGCAGGCCAGCAUCAGUUUGGGCGGUUGGAUAAAGGUCUCUGUCAUGUACCUCUCUUCGGGGAGAACUUAUAGGGGAGACGACAUGCAACCAGCCUGGACUGAGGUCCGCGCAUCUGCUAGGAUGCUGGCGUAAUGGCUGUAAGCGGCCCGUCUUGAAACACGGACCAAGGAGUCUAACAUCUAUGCGAGUGUUUGGGUGUCAAGCCCGAGCGCGUAAUGAAAGUGAACGGAGGUGGGAACCUUUCGGGGUGCACCAUCGACCGAUCCUGAUGUCUUCGGAUGGAUUUGAGUAAGAGCAUAGCUGUUGGGACCCGAAAGAUGGUGAACUAUGCUUGAAUAGGGUGAAGCCAGAGGAAACUCUGGUGGAGGCUCGCAGCGGUUCUGACGUGCAAAUCGAUCGUCAAAUUUGGGCAUAGGGGCGAAAGACUAAUCGAACUAUCUAGUAGCUGGUUCCUGCCGAAGU
RNAcentral lists this ribosomal RNA (875 nucleotides) under Polyopeus recurvatus. Its description in RNAcentral is "LSU rRNA". It matches the Rfam family "Eukaryotic large subunit ribosomal RNA", at positions 74 to 967 of the family's 3401-position model. Lineage: Eukaryota; Fungi; Ascomycota; Dothideomycetes; Pleosporales. The record is from RNAcentral.